GACGAACGCUGGCGGCGGGCUUAACACAUGCAAGUCGAACGGAAAGGCCCUGCUUUUGUGGGGUGCUCGAGUGGCGAACGGGUGAGUAACACGUGAGUAACCUGCCCUUGACUUUGGGAUAACUUCAGGAAACUGGGGCUAAUACCGGAUAGGAGCUCCUGCUGCAUGGAGGGGGUUGGAAAGUUUCGGCGGUUGGGGAUGGACUCGCGGCUGAUCAGCUUGUUGGUGGGGUAGUGGCUUACCAAGGCAUUGACGGGUAGCCGGCCUGAGAGGGUGACCGGCCACAUUGGGACUGAGAUACGGCCCAGACUCCUACGGGAGGCAGCAGUGGGGAAUAUUGCACAAUGGGCGGAAGCCUGAUGCAGCAACGCCGCGUGCGGGAUGACGGCCUUCGGGUUGUAAACCGCUUUCGCCUGUGACGAAGCGUGAGUGACGGUAAUGGGUAAAGAAGCACCGGCUAACUACGUG
RNAcentral lists this ribosomal RNA (468 nucleotides) under uncultured bacterium. RNAcentral describes it as "partial 16S ribosomal RNA". It matches the Rfam family "Bacterial small subunit ribosomal RNA", at positions 28 to 507 of the family's 1533-position model. The record is from RNAcentral.